RNAcentral lists this long non-coding RNA (2319 nucleotides) under Salvia miltiorrhiza (redroot sage). RNAcentral's name for it is "long non-coding RNA (SMIL_LNC004658)". Lineage: Eukaryota; Viridiplantae; Streptophyta; Magnoliopsida; Lamiales; Lamiaceae. The record is from RNAcentral.
AAGGGAAGGAAAGGAAGAAGAAGGGGAGAGAGACGCCGGCCUCGCCGCGCCGGAGGCGGCGAGGACUGGCGACGUCGCCGGGCGAGAGGGAGAGGGAAAGUGAGAGACGCAGGUGAGAGAACAGAGAGAAAUGGAGUCUGCGUAAAAAGAAAAAGAAGGAAGAAGAGAGAUGUUGACUUUAGUAUAUUCUAGACUUACGUUCUAUUUAGUUUUUAAUUUAUUUUGAUUAAUUGGGCUUUGAGAAUUUCAUAUUGGGUUUAAAUAAUACUUAGGCCAUUAAUUGCUAUUGGACCUUAGUAAUAAAUUAGAUUAUGGACUUAAUUAUUGGUUUGGGUCCUUAAUUCAUUUAAUUGAGAUGAGUUUAUUUUAAUUUAAGCCUAUAAAUAUGUAUAAAGGAUUAUUAGCUAUUUGCUAAUAAUUGGCUUGAUUUAUUAAAUGGCCUAGACAUAUAAUUAAAUUAUGCUAAUACUCUAUGUAAUUAUGCAUAAAUUAGACACUAGAUUAUUAUAGAAUCAAAUUCUUGAAAGAAGAGAAAAAUAGAUUUAUAUUAUUUCCAGUUAAUAGCUAUUUAUUAAAUUAGAAUGAGUAGAGUUAUGAUUAACGCUAGAGUUAUGAGUAUUGCAGUUUAAGUUUAUGUUGGUAUUUGUUGAUAAGUUUGCUAAAUAGCAACUAGUCUUUAUACCAUAAUUUCAAUAGAGCUAUCAUCUUAAAACCAACAUAAGCAUUCUUUAUAAAUCAAGUCCCUAUCAUUUCCUCAUUAUUUAUUAGUCAGUUUUUAUACUGAAGGUCAGAUACAAGCAAGGGUAAAGCAAUAGUUCAGAAUUACUAGUGUUGUCAGACCACGAUCAGGUGGGCUUUCUAAACUCAAAAUCUGAAGUGCAUAUUAUUUCAUAAUGUUUACAUGAAUGAAGUUAUACUAAUUAAAGUUAUUGACUUGCCAAAAAUUUUGUGAGCUAAUAUGAUACCUAUCUGGCACCAGAAGUUAAUCGAAUUCGGAUCCUGUUCUAUCAAGAUGUUAGACAGGAUUAGUGUACACAAGGGACCGUGAGCCGAUCAAGCAUAUCGGCCGGCCUAGGACCGUGAGCCGGUUUAGCGUAUCGGCCGGUCUAGGACCGUGAGCCGGUUUAGCGUAUCGGCCGGUCAGUGACCGUAGAAGGUGGCCACCUUCUCGGCACACAGUUAUCAUUGCAGAUAUGGUAUAAUACAAAGAAGUAUGUCUGCAGACGNGCGUAAAAAGAAAAAGAAGGAAGAAGAGAGAUGUUAACUUUAGUAUAUUCUAGACUUAAGUUCUAUUUAGUUUUUAAUUUAUUUUGAUUAAUUGGGCUUUGAGAAUUUCAUAUUGGGUUUAAAUAAUACUUGGGCCAUUAAUUGCUAUUGGACCUUAGUAAUAAAUUAGAUUAUGGACUUAAUUAUUGGUUUGGUCCUUAAUUCAUUUAAUUGAGAUGAGUUUAUUUUAAUUUAAGCCUAUAAAUAUGUAUAAAGGAUUAUUAGCUAUUUGCUAAUAAUUGGCUUGAUUUAUUAAAUGGCCUAGACAUAUAAUUAAAUUAUGCUAUUACUCUAUGUAAUUAUGCAUAAAUUAGACACUAGAUUAUUAUAGAAUCAAAUUCUUGAAAGAAGAGAAAAAUAGAUUUAUAUUAUUUCCAGUUAAUAGCUAUUUAUUAAAUUAGAAUGAGUAGAGUUAUGAUUAACGCCAGAGUUACAAUUAUCGUAGUUUAAGUUUUGGUUUAGAUAAUAUGUUGGUAUUUAUUGAUAAGUUCACCAGGUAGCAAUCAAUCAUCAUUUUAUAAGUUCAAAUAGAACUAUCACCUUAAAACCAACAUAAGUAUUCUCUAAAUAAAUUUCAUAUCAUGUUCUCAUUAUUUAUUAAUCAGUUUUUAUACUGAAGGUCAGAUACAAGCAAGGGUAAAGCAAUAGUUCAGAAUUACUAGUGUUGUCAGACCACGAUCAGGUGGGCUUUCUAAACUCAAAAUCUGAAGUGCACACUAUUUCAUGAUGUUUACAUGAAUGAAGUUAUAUUAAAGUUAUUGACUUGCCAAAUUAUUUUAUGAGCUUGUAUGAUACCUAUCUGGCACCAGAAGUUAAUCGAAUCCGGAUCCUGUUCUAUCCAAAUGUUAGACAGGAUUAGUGUACACAAGGGACCGUGAGCCGAUCAAGCAUAUCGGCCGGCCUAGGACCGUGAGCCGGUUUAGCGUAUCGGCCGGUCUAGGUCCGUGAGCUGGUUUAGCGUAUCGGCCGGUCUAGGACCGUGAGCCGAUUUAGCGUAUCGGCCGGUCAGUGACCGUAGAAGGUGGCCACCUUCUCGGCACACAGUUAUCAUUG